GCAGCAGAGGGGCACACCGCCGGUACCCACGGCGGGAGCGGGCCCAGCAGGGCUCGCAGCCGGAGGGCGAUAUCUGAACGGGACAAGCACAGCCGCUCCGUCCCAACCCUCCCCCGCCGACAGGGUGGAGUUGAACUUCUGUCACAUAAGUGGAAGUGGCAUAUCAUCUUUGAAGAGUGGAGCAAAGCAAGAGCAAUGUGGGCAGUACAUUCGUCUGAGUGCAAGUGUGCUCCUCCUUUUCAGUUGUAAUCAUCUGCAGUGUCUUUAAAAGAAAAACAAAACUAAACCAACUCUGUUUUGGGAAAUGUGCUGUGGUUUAAAAAGGAGGUUUUUGCUCCUCUAUGCAACACAAAAGGGGCAGGCAAAAGCCAUAGCUGAGGAAAUAUGGCAGCAGGCAGGUGCCCAUGGAUUUGAAGCUGAUAUGCACUGUAUGAGUGAAAUUGACAAGUAUAACCUGGAAACAGAAAAGGAUCCAGUAGUUAUUGUUAUUUCCACUACUGGUACUGGAGACCCACCAGACACCGCCCGCAAGCUUGUAAAGAAAAUUCAAGACACGACAUUGCCACCUGAGCAUUUCUCACAUCUCCAGUAUGGAUUGCUAGGUCUGGGAGAUUCAGAGUAUACAUUCUUCUGUAAUGGUGGAAAGACAGUAGACCGACGACUUCAAGAACUUGGAGCCCAGCACUUCUACGACACAGGAUUAGCAGAUGAUUGUGUAGGUUUGGAAUUAGUGGUUGAUCCUUGGAUUGAUGGACUUUGGCAUGCUCUCAAGGAAGUUUUCCUAUUGCAAAAAGAAAGAGAAGGCAUGAACAGUGCUGUUGAUGCUGUUUCGAACUCUCUCUCUGCAGCCCCACAUGUUGUGCAUGAACUAAACUUAAGCUCCGAAGUACAGAACUUAAAGCUAGAAGAUGAAGGAGUGAAGAGUUCUGAUGUUUUUUCACAGAAACUGGUUGACAUCAGGCUUGUGGAUUCAAAUAGAGACACUGAAGCUUCACUUGUUCAUUCUGUCCCUCCUAUCUCUGAGUCUGCUCUUAAUAUUCCUGCCUUGCCACCAGAAUAUAUAGAAGUGCAGUUUCAGGACACCCAUGGUGAGAAUCCACAUUUGUCCUCACUGAUUUCAGAGGGAACAGUCUUUGAAGUGCCAGUUACAAAAGCAGUCCAGCUCACUAGAGAAGAUGCAGUAAAAACAGCAUUACUCUUAGAACUUGAUAUUGCAGAUACAGUCUUUGACUACCAACCAGGAGAUGCCUUCUGUGUGAUGUGUCCCAAUAAUGUCAGUGAGGUAGAAGAACUUCUUCGCAUCUUGGAACUUUCUGAAAAAGGAGAGUACUUUGUUUGUGUAAAGGUUAAGCAGGGCACUAAAAAGAAAGGAGCAUCUCGUCCACAGCACAUCCCUGAAAGAAGCACUCUGAAAUUCAUUCUAACCUGGUGUUUGGAAAUAAGGGCAACUCCCAAAAAGGCAUUUUUGCGAGCUCUUGUAGAAUGUACGAGUGAUGUGGGAGAAAAACGGAGGCUUCAAGAGCUUUGCAGCAGGCAAGGAGCCUCUGAUUACACACGCUUUAUUAGAGAUCCCAGUGUUUGUUUGCUGGAUUUACUACAUGCUUUUCCAAGCUGCAAACCUUCGCUUAACGUGUUAAUUGAACAUCUUCCUAAAUUACAAGCCAGAUCCUAUUCAGCAUCAAGUUCAAACUUGUAUCAGCCAGGGAAACUGAGUUUUGUAUUUAGUAUUGUGGAGUUCGCUGCCUGUCCCACUCGACCAGUCUCACGGAGGGGAGUAUGUACAGGGUGGCUUGCGGAGUUAGUUGCCACUCAGCUGCAUGCCAACAGAAGCACUGUGGAUACAAAUGGAGGAAGCUGUUCAACUAAAAAGAUAUCUAUUUUUGCUCGUCCAAACAAUGCUUUCCACUUACCGGCAGACCCAUCUAUCCCACUCAUGAUGGUUGGUCCAGGAACAGGAAUUUCACCAUUUAUUGGUUUCCUACAGCAUAGGCAAAAGCUCAGAGAGGAACAUAUGGACUGGGAAUUUGGAGAGACAUGGCUGUUUUUCGGUUGUCGGCAUCAGAACCGAGACUAUUUGUUCAAGCAAGUUCACUAUUUAGCAUUCAUUUUGUAUUCAUGAGGAAUGCUUAUCUCUGAGCGGUUACUAAUAGUUGCUAUUGCCUUUCAGAGAUGAGCUCAGAUGUUUUCUGGAAAAUGGCACGUUAAAUCAUCUUAAGGUUUGUUUCUCAAGAGACUCUUCUUCAACUGCAGAAGUAGCCCCACCUAAAUAUGUGCAAGAUGUCAUUAGGCUUCAUGCUAAGGAAGUUGCCAGAGUCCUGCUGAAAGAGAGAGGUUACUUCUAUGUGUGUGGAGAUAAGAAGCACAUGGCUGAUGGUGUAAGUGAUGCUGUAGUGGACAUUUUAAGCAUGGAAAUGGAGGCUGACAAAUUGGAAGCAAUGAAGUUCCUGGCCACUCUUCGAGAAGCAAAACGAUAUUUGCAGGAUGUAUGGAGCUAAAUAUUUAGCAUUUCCUAUGCUUUUGUAAAACUGAAGAUUUUGUUUCACCCAUGCUUUUGAUUAAAAGCUAUUGUCAAAAGUGCUGUCUGUAGUGGCCCAAAUCUUCAUUUUCUCCACUGACCUUUCAAGCAGGAAGAUAAACGUGUUUUAAAUGACAGGAAACCAGGCUGCCUUUGGAAUUGUAUGGUGGUUUUUAACAAUGUUGCAUCAUGGAUUGUCUCAGUGCCUUGAUUCCCUCAUUUUAAUGUCAGUUUAAUGCAGAAAGUAAACACUUCUGCACUUGUACAAAUAUAAUUGUAUGUUUACAUUUUGUCAUUGCUUUUUUUUCCUAUAAUGUAUGCAUAAAUAAGCUACAGAGUAAAUACAUUACACACUGAUCUCUGCAUCAUCAAAUUCAUUACAGACUUGCCAGGACUGCCUCUGUAAACCGUUUUCUGCUCAACUUUGCGAAUAGAAUAGGAAAAGACUUUAAAACAAACAAAACACACACAAACACCAAAAAACACCCUUGGCUGAUAAACUUUGCUUUUUACCUCAAGGGAACAGGGCAGAGUCAAGUUGUAUGCUGUGCUUAUUGAACCAGUUUCACACAUCAACUCAUCCUAUUUUCGAUUGCUCCUGGGGAACAUGUAGUGUGUUGCUGAUGGCAUGGGUUUUUUUGGUAAUUAAGCCCAAGGCCACUGGUUUUGGCCUAACUGCAUUCCAGUUUUACUUUGGAACUAGAAAUGGAGUCUGGAGGUCAGCUGAGGCCUGUUCGCACAUGUGUGUGUGCAUGAGGCAACUGGGGAGAGCAGGGAUUCAGGGACAGCUACUGGGUGGACUGUGUGUCUAAGCCCAGCUACUGGUGGGAUGGGCAGUGUAUGUGCUCGUUGUUGGAAUCCACUUUAAUAUGAGGGUAGUGAGGCUCUGGAAAAGUUGCCCAAGGGAGCUGUGGCUGUCCCAUCCCUGGAAGUGUUCAAGGCCAGGUUUGAGAGGCCUUGAAGCAACCUGGUCUAGUGGAAGGUGUCCCUAACUGUGGCAGAGGGGUUGGAAAUAGAUGAUCUUGAAGGUCACUUCCACCCAAAUAGUCUAUGAUUCCAUGUAUGUAUGUAUAUAUUUCCCACCAGACCUUUAGCCUGGUCAGCUGGAGGGAGGGACAACUGGUUGGAUCUGGGAUCACUCCCAAUUCAGGUGUAAAUGUGUAUACUGGGGAAUGUCCUUGCCCUCAAAGAAUGCAGUUUUAAAUAAAAUCCCAAGCCCACAUUUGCCAAAAACUUGGUGUGUAUCUGUUUGUUUGUUGUUUUUUUGUUUGGUUUCGUGCUUUGGUUUGUUUCAUGCUUCAUUACCUGGUAUUUAGUGCAUCCACUGUAACUGAAGAUGAGGCCAUGUAUAUUUUUCUACAGGUGAAGUCACACACAGAUUUCGAAGUAGAGGUGUUGUGCCUGCUCCCUCUGCCCCGACUGCCCAUGUGCAUAGGGGUAAACAGAAAUUCAGUGGAAGUCAUAAACAAUUUCUCACUCGUGUGACAUCCUUUUUACUCUCCAGCUACUCUCAGUGUAGCUGUAUGGCUGGUGAUUAACACAUCAGCUGCUGCAACCACGUCUUAAGCCACCAUCUCUUAACCCACUAUGGUGGGUUAUAAUGCCUUUUUUCCCAAACCGCUCCCUCUAUCUGUGCCAGUCAUGCUGGGUGUCUCAGCAGACAGCAUCAGACGUGGCAGUACCUGCUGUGCCCUUAAGCAGAUUCCAGCCCAGAGGUCUCUGAAGCCCAGGUUCUGUUUGGCUUAUACACAGCAACAUGCUGAAAUCAGGUUGUGGGGCUUUGUUUGCUUCGUUUUUUUGACAAGGUGUAUUUUUUGUUGUUCCUAUCGGCUACAUCCGCUGUUAGUUAUUAGCUUCAGAUAUGUGGGACAAAAGGAUUUUUCUCUUCCUUGCCCAACAAAAAUAUCCAUGGAGCAGCCUAUUUCUUCUGGAGGAAGUGUCUUCUUGUUACUAUUCCAAUAUAUUCAAUGAAAAAAAAAAGAUUGAAUUUAUGCUUGUUCUUUGCAGUCAUUCAUAUUGCUGCAUAGGGCAGAACAUGUAUGGAGUGCCAGUUAGUGUCAUCUAUGCAUGUUUUAUGUGGACUCUCCCACCAACAGUGGCUUACUGUGCCAUUAGCUGUUGUAAAUACUCUGAAAAUCCAAAUCUUUUUUUGAAACCAUCCUUGUAAAUGCUUCCCCAAAGGUUGUAUUUUAUGUUGCCUAAUAGCAAUUACUGUUACUAGGCAAAGAUGGGUUGUUACAUAAACCAUACAGAAAACACACUGCAUGUUUUAAUUAAAUGUUGCCAUUUGCCUUACUAAUAGUACUUCCCAGAUGAUAGUGUUUCUGUCGAGGGUAGAAAUUGUUAAGUUCCAUGCUUGGCUAAAGUAGUGUCCGUGCUGGAUAUGAUCUCAGAAGCCUACACCUGAAGACUUUGUGCUUUUUAAAACCUUUGUCAAUACCAUGCCAUAGACAAUUUUAAAUAUACCUUACCCAUAAAUCCUCUGCUUGAAUGGACAAAUUCAGCUGCAGCUGUAUAUAAUGCUGAAUUCCCCUUAAAUAACCAUUUAUAGUCAGUCCAUUAUUCUGUAGGUGAUUCUUUUUAAAAGAAGAAUAAAAGAACACCUAUAGCAGGCAGUUAUGAAAUGACCUGUCUGAAGCUCAACUUUGAGCUUUAGGGAUCACAUGAAGUCAUAUGCUUGCAACUUUUAUUUUCUAUAAAGUAAAUAUGGGUAUUCUCAUUGUGUGUUUGUGCGUUUAGCAAUUUGGUAUGUUGGUGGCCUUGCAAAACCAAUAUAUUAAUGUCUCAGUUUCACUGGAUGUCCCUUCUAUAAAAGGGCCUGGGGUUGUUUUGCUCAGCUGUCAUCCUGGGUCUCAAGCUGAUGCAGCUUCAGAUUUUUUCCUACUCUUUGAAUGGAAACUUUAUGCCUCCAUCUGUCGAUCUGUCUCACUCCUGUUACGCUUCAUCUGAGUUGGGAAGACCAAAACUGAAUCCAGUAAUCCAGUUUCAGACAUGACAGUGAUUUUAUAAUAAAUAACAGCAGAAUAUUUUCAGUGUUACUUUCUAUUCUGUUUUGGGUUUGGGGAUGUUGUGGAGAAAUAAAAAUGGAAGAACCA
RNA transcript from Pezoporus occidentalis (night parrot), 5610 nucleotides. It is a transcript of the gene named 5-methyltetrahydrofolate-homocysteine methyltransferase reductase, with no coding region annotated. The record is from RefSeq and is a predicted model, not a curated record. The transcript is spliced from 15 exons. Lineage: Eukaryota; Metazoa; Chordata; Aves; Psittaciformes; Psittacidae.